GCAUGGCUGAAUACUGUAUCCUUUUUGCCAAUAUUUUUCACAGCCAGACACCAUUUAAAAGUAGUUUUCCCUUGAAAUGGCUCUCAAUGGUAUGCUGCUUUUCUAUGGCAUAUCAUUAUUAAAAGUGGCUACAAAU
Molecule: small nucleolar RNA, 136 nt
Organism: Sorex araneus (European shrew)
Lineage: Eukaryota; Metazoa; Chordata; Mammalia; Eulipotyphla; Soricidae
Source: Ensembl